UAAUACAUUUUUGUUGUGUGGUAACGGUGU
This 30-nucleotide non-coding RNA is filed under the name Rattus norvegicus (Norway rat). Lineage: Eukaryota; Metazoa; Chordata; Mammalia; Rodentia; Muridae. The record is from RNAcentral.